AUAACCUACCUAUAAGACUGGGAUAACUUCGGGAAACCGGAGCUAAUACCGGAUAAUAUAUUGAACCGCAUGGUUCAAUGGUGAAAGACGGUUUUGCUGUCACUUAUAGAUGGAUCCGCGCCGCAUUAGCUAGUUGGUAAGGUAACGGCUUACCAAGGCAACGAUGCGUAGCCGACCUGAGAGGGUGAUCGGCCACACUGGAACUGAGACACGGUCCAGACUCCUACGGGAGGCAGCAGCC
RNAcentral lists this ribosomal RNA (241 nucleotides) under uncultured Staphylococcus sp. RNAcentral describes it as "partial 16S ribosomal RNA". It matches the Rfam family "Bacterial small subunit ribosomal RNA", at positions 121 to 355 of the family's 1533-position model. Lineage: Bacteria; Bacillati; Bacillota; Bacilli; Caryophanales; Staphylococcaceae. The record is from RNAcentral.